RNAcentral lists this ribosomal RNA (467 nucleotides) under uncultured bacterium. RNAcentral describes it as "bacterial SSU rRNA". It matches the Rfam family "Bacterial small subunit ribosomal RNA", at positions 328 to 793 of the family's 1533-position model. The record is from RNAcentral.
UUGCCAGACUCCUACGGGAGGCAGCAGUGAGGAAUAUUGGUCAAUGGGCGCGAGCCUGAACCAGCCAAGUCGCGUGAGGGAUGAAGGAUCUAUGGUUCUUAAACCUCUUUUAUAAGGGAAUAAAGUGCGGGACGCGUCCCGCUUCGCAUGUACCUUAUGAAUAAGGAUCGGCUAACUCCGUGCCAGCAGCCGCGGUAAUACGGAGGAUCCGAGCGUUAUCCGGAUUUAUUGGGUUUAAAGGGUGCGUAGGCGGGCUUUUAAGUCAGCGGUAAGAAUUCGGGGCUCAACCCCGUCCGGCCGUUGAAACUGGGGGCCUUGAGUGGGCGAGAAGAAGGCGGAAUGCGUGGUGUAGCGGUGAAAUGCAUAGAUAUCACGCAGAACCCCGAUUGCGAAGGCAGCCUUCCGGCGCCCUACUGACGCUGAGGCACGAAAGUGCGGGGAUCGAACAGGAUUAGAUACCCUUGUAC